AGGACGGAACGCUGGCGGCGUGCUUAACACAUGCAAGUCGAGCGGAAAGGCCCUUCGGGGUACUCGAGCGGCGAACGGGUGAGUAACACGUGAGUAACCUGCCCCUAGCUCUGGGAUAGCUCCGGGAAACCGGGAUUAAAUACCAGAUAUGACCACUUUAGACAUCUGUCGUGGUGGAAAGGAUUCCGGCUAGGGAUGGGCUCGCGGCCUAUCAGCUUGUUGGUGGGGUAACGCCUACCAAGGCGACGACGGGUA
RNAcentral lists this ribosomal RNA (255 nucleotides) under uncultured bacterium. RNAcentral's name for it is "partial small subunit ribosomal RNA". It matches the Rfam family "Bacterial small subunit ribosomal RNA", at positions 27 to 285 of the family's 1533-position model. The record is from RNAcentral.